UACCGUGGUGGUAACGGGUAACGGGGUGUUAGGGCACGACACCGGAGAGGGAGCCUGAGAAACGGCUACCACAUCCAAGGAAUGCAGCAGGCGCGCAAAUUACCCAAUCCCGACACGGGGAGGUAGUGACAAUAAAUAACAAUACGGGGUUCUUUAGGAUCUCGUAAUUGGAAUGAGUACAAUUUAAAUCUCUUAACGAGGAACAAUUGGAGGGCAAGUCUGGUGCCAACAGCCGCGGUAAUUCCAGCUCCAAUAGCGUAUAUUAAAGUUGUUGCAGUUAAAAAGCUCGUAGUUGAAUUUCGGGGUCAGUAGGUCGGUCGUGCCACUGGUAUGAACUGGUUUUACUGAUUCCUCCCUCUUGAAGAACUGUAAUGCCAUUAAUUUGGUGUUGCAGGGAAUCAGGACUGUUACUUUGAAAAAAUUAGAGUGUUUAAAGCAGGCUUUAGCUUGAAUACAUUAGCAUGGAAUAAUGAAAUAGGACGUUUGAUCCUAUUUUGUUGGUUUCUAGGAUUGACGUAAUGAUUAAUAGGGAUAGUUGGGGGCAUUAGUAUUCAAUUGUCAGAGGUGAAAUUCUUGGAUUUAUUGAAGACUAACUACAGCGAAAGCAUUUGCCAAGGAUGUUUUCAUUAAUCAAGAACGAAAGUUAGGGGAUCGAAGACGAUCAGAUACCGUCGUAGUCUUAACCAUAAACUAUGCCGACUAGGGAUCGGAUGAUGUUAAUUUUUUAAUGACUCAUUCGGCGCCUUACGGGAAACCAAAGUGUUU
Molecule: ribosomal RNA, 765 nt
Filed under: uncultured Glomus
Lineage: Eukaryota; Fungi; Glomeromycota; Glomeromycetes; Glomerales; Glomeraceae
Description: SSU rRNA
Rfam family: Eukaryotic small subunit ribosomal RNA
Source: RNAcentral